This 199-nucleotide unclassified non-coding RNA is filed under the name uncultured Thelephoraceae. Its description in RNAcentral is "sequence contains ITS1". The record is from RNAcentral. Lineage: Eukaryota; Fungi; Basidiomycota; Agaricomycetes; Thelephorales; Thelephoraceae.
CCGAAUCGUCGACACGAGUUGUUGCUGGCCCUCAAACCGGGGCAUGUGCACGCUCUGUUUACACAUCCACUCACACCUGUGCACCCUCUGUAGCUCUGCGGUCCGGGGGACCCCCCUCUUCCGUCCGCGGUUCUACGUCUUACACACACACUGUAACGCGGUUUUAUGGAAUGUACGCAGCGUUUAACGCAAUACAAUA